Molecule: ribosomal RNA, 497 nt
Filed under: uncultured bacterium
Lineage: Bacteria
Description: partial 16S ribosomal RNA
Rfam family: Bacterial small subunit ribosomal RNA
Source: RNAcentral
GAUGAACGCUGGCGGCGUGCCUAAUACAUGCAAGUCGAGCGAACGGACGAGAAGCUUGCUUCUCUGAUGUUAGCGGCGGACGGGUGAGUAACACGUGGAUAACCUACCUAUAAGACUGUGAUAACUUCGGGAAACCGGAGCUAAUACCGGAUAAUAUUUUGAACCGCAUGGUUCAAAAGUUAAAGACGGUCUUGCUGUCACUUAUAGAUGGAUCCGCGCUGCAUUAGCUAGUUGGUAAGGUAACGGCUUACCAAGGCAACGAUGCAUAGCCGACCUGAGAGGGUGAACGGCCACACUGGAACUGAGACACGGUCCAGACUACUACGGGAGGAAGCAGUAGGGAAUCUUCCGCAAUGGGCGAAAUCCUGACGGAGCAACGAAGCGUGAGUAAUGAAGGUCUUCGGAUCGUAAAACUCUGUUAUUAGGGAAGAAAAUAUGUGUAAGUAACUGUGCACAUCUUGACGGUACCUAAUCAGAAAGCCACAGCUAACUAAGUA